CUAAAUAGUAAUUUUCCCAUUUAAUUAUCUAUACAAAAUUAUAACAAGUUCCAACAGUCAUAGAACCUCACAUAAAUGAAAAAAAAUGACAUGGAUCUUGCAUAGGAGGCAUAAAAGAAUGAGAGGAAAGUGGCAGGGAAACGCUUGAUCAUACGAAAGAUCCCCAUAUCAUGUAAAUCGAGAAGAGAAUUACACAUUCAUGGCUAUCAAAUUUGAACCAAAUUCUCAAUCAAUGUUGCUCUCUGAUACGUUGCCUCAUUUCAUGUGCACACAAUAUUUUGGAGGAAAAAAAAAUAAAGACAAGUAAAGCUCAUUCAGAACAAAGAGCACAUCAAUCUCUUAACAUGGUAGUGUAAGAGAGGACAACAAACACAAACCAUUGGUUCCUUUGAUAACCAUUUUAUGAAAUUCGUCCACAAAUUCAAUAGUUAUGUUCACAAAACCAUGGAAGAACAUCUCAACUUCACUUAUCCUGUUGAAUUAAAAAGCAACUAACCAUCUCUCCCACAAAGCACAUUCAUCUCUUAGAAUGAUAAUAUGAGGGUGGAAAAUUCAUUGGAUCGUUUGAUAGCCACUUCAUAAAAAUUCAUUGUGGUUUGUGUUAACUUGUUUGCUUUAAUAUCUCUUAGCAUUGGAUCUUUGGAUAGCCACUUCAUGAAAAUUUAACACAUGUUAACCGCUAUAUGCACCACAACCUAGAAUAACCUCUCAACUUCAAUCAUACUGUGAAUUGAAACCAGCCUUCCAUCUCCUCAAAAAUUAAAACCAGUUUAGGCUUGGAUGGUGAUCAACAUGUCAACAAUUCAAUCAGUAGUAGGUGUGAGGACUAUUCGGUUCAAACCAAAUUAACUGACCGCAUCAACUCAAUUCGGAAAGUCAAUUCAAUUUGAUAGGAAAUUUCGUUCAAUUCGGUUUUGAAGGAAAAAAAUUUUACUACAACUGAACUGAACCGAUAUAUAUUAAAUCUAAGAGCAAUAUGUUACAUUUACCUUGUAGCCCAAUGGUCAACCACCCUUCAAAGACAUGCCAGCCCAAGUUUCAAAACCCAACCUCACCUUUCUUUUUCUUACUUUUCCCAAUCAUUCAAUCUUAGCCAUCCAUCCCAUAGGUUGGAUCUUAGCCAUUCAUUUCCCUCAUAUAUAUUCAUUCUCUCACACUUUCUCUUAUCUUUCAUGCCGCCCCACCUACCCAAGUAAUCCAUCUUCUCUUCUUCCUUCAUUUCUUCUAUUUCCUUCAUUUCUUAUUUCUUCAAUCUACACCCUACCUACCCAAGUAACCAUAUUUUCUUCUUCCUAAAUUUUCUUCUAUUUCUUCAUUUCUUUUGUGAGCAGAACACCGCACCUAGGGGCAAUGCCACAUCACCUCCCUUUCUUUUCUUUUUCUUUUUAAUUUAUUUUUCUACAAUUUGUAAAUAUUGCUCUCUUAUUUUGGAUUGUGAUUUUGAAGAUUAUUAUUUUGAGUUAAAUGUAACUUUUGUUCAUCAUUAAUACAUUUCUAUUGUGUUGAUAAAAAAAUUUUAUUCCUGCUUGGAUGUUUGGUUGAAAUGUUGACAGUGGUUUGAGGAUGAGAAAGAACUGAAUUUUCGAACCGAACUGAACAUAUUUAGUUCGGUUUGAUUCGGUUUGGUUGUUUACAUAGAUUGACUCGGUUUGAUUUUUAAAUUUAUGUAAAAUUCAAUUUUUAGUUUAUUCGGUUGGUGGUCUUGGAUGUCAA
RNAcentral lists this unclassified non-coding RNA (1713 nucleotides) under Hevea brasiliensis (rubber tree). Lineage: Eukaryota; Viridiplantae; Streptophyta; Magnoliopsida; Malpighiales; Euphorbiaceae. The record is from RNAcentral.